Molecule: long non-coding RNA, 201 nt
Filed under: Elaeis guineensis (African oil palm)
Lineage: Eukaryota; Viridiplantae; Streptophyta; Magnoliopsida; Arecales; Arecaceae
Description: long non-coding RNA (EGUI_LNC049100)
Source: RNAcentral
CUACCUUGCUGACGAAUAGAAGGUGUUCGUCAGCAAUAGGAUAGUCUUUUUAUAAAGAAGUUUCAUGGAGAAAAAACUAAUGCCUCAAAGAUUGAACUUGAUGAAGUUCGAUCAGUAGAAAAACUGACACAAUCUAGUAAACCCAUAGAGUUGGACUUGAUUAGAUCAAAUUUGAAACCUGUUGUAGAAACAUCUUUAAGG